GGCCUUCUACUUCAGCUAACUGAGAAGAUGAUGGAGCACCCAUGUCAGCUAUAGCAGGAGUCGUACCUUGCAGGCGAGCCAUAUCUUGCAUUCUCUGAACAGACCGUUUAUGCCUCUUUCCAUUUUUGUGCUGCUCAAGGAUUUCCUUGCUAUUACACCCCACGUGGCAUAUAUCACACCAAGCAGCUGGAACAACAGUACCCCGUGUUGAACUGCUGGUUGUAGCUUGCACCAUGUGUGCUGGUGCACAGACCGUUUCGGGCUGAGCCUGUAAUGCAAAAGAUCCACCGGAUGCUUGAAUGGCUAACUGCCUAUCACUGCUCUUGUUUCUACGACCUCGGCCACUGCCUCGACCUCGCCCACGGCCUCUACCACGUGGUGAUGUAAUUCCUGCAUUCCAUAUAAGAGGAUGAUACAUAGGGCUUCCACCUCUGCCUCCACCUUGCGAAGGCCCACGACCUCUGCUUACACCGUUGAGUGUACCUAUACCACCCCCAACCUGCAAGAAAAGGUAGAACAACGCCAUGGUUAGGUAUUUGGCAACAUGACUCGUGUGAAUUUGCACUAAACCACAGCGUGUUGCAGCAAUUGUGUAUUGUUACCAAUACUCUAGGAGCAUAUGGUUAACAGUUUGAUGUAGCUUACUUACAAACACGGAUGUACAUUACAUCAGUAUAAUACUCUUCUUUUGCAUAUAUCUUAUUUCCAGAAAUAUAUUCUUAAACUUAGAAACUAAAAAACAGAAAUCUCAAGCAAAGUUCAAAGCAGGUGUCAGGCAGAUAAAACACCACAGUUUUUUUUUACCAGUGUUUCAUUUAUCCAUGAAUUAUUGGUGUGAUCAUGGAGUAUGUGACAUUAUUAGUACAAUAACAGCAGAAUCCAUGGAACUGUGUUAGCAAAUGUUCAUUUGAAGGUACUAUCCAACAGUCGGUCUUUCAACAGCAACCUGAACAAACUUGCAUGCAACACCUCAUUGGCCCAACCCUGGAAUGAGGUUCCUGUUAGCCAACAGUGCCUCACAGGAAUAGGUAAGGGAAAAAAACAGUUACCUCACAGGAAUAGCUUGAAAGGAAUGAGAUGACAAUGGAUCAACUCAUUCCAUUCCCCAAACAAAACAAAACAAAAACAUGGAGUGAGAAUAUGAUGGAUCACCCUAUUCCUUAAAACAAACACCAUAUAAUGUAUAAGCAAACUGAUUUAUACAAUACAAUCAUUUAUCCAUAAAGUGCAUACAAAGAAACUUACUUUCAUGUAAUACAGGAAAGAGUCCAUCAAAACUCCAGCUUUAAUAAAGAACAUAAUAUUUUCAAAUACAUAUCUUGCUUCAUAAACAAAACAGACUGUAUUUGACCAUCACGGCAAAAGCCCACAUUUGCAUUAUGAAAUGGUUCACCAGAAAACAGAACUGUCUUACGACCUUCAAAAAGACUGUAUAUGCAGCAAAUAUACCGAGUUCAUGAGAGCUCUAAUUCUGGGAAACUAUACAAAUCAGGUAUGUCGAAUAAACGUUUGGAUAUAGGUAAGAGCGUAAAUAGACGUCCUUUAAUGAAUCAAGCAGUAUUUACCAUCAUCGAUCUCCAGAGCGGGGAAUAGACUUCCUUUAGGGCCCGUUCGUUUCGGCAGGUUUAUCCCAUUCCGGGUCUGAUUCCAGGCGGAAGGAAAUGUCCCGGUUUAGAAUUCGACCCUUUAUGCGACAGCUGUUCGUUUGGGCCCAGAUCGAAAGCGAGAGUGAUCCGGUUUGAAGUUUUCUCUUCCACAACGGCCCGACAUGAAUCCUGGUCUACCGACCUCCGGAUCCGAUAUCGACGAGACAGCGCAGCACUGGCGCGGAGGAGGCGAAGAGGCGACGACGCCAGUGACGGCGUGGCGGCGCAGCGCAGCGUUGACGGCCACCCUCCCCGUCGCUUUCUCACCGGUAAGCGUCACCCUCUCUUCCCCAACGCACCUGCCCUUGCGAUGCUUUCCUUCUCCCUCCACAUCCGCCCUCGACGAAGUCGUGUCCAGUUGUGCCUGCCCUUGGCGGCGCUUCCCUCUCCCUCCCCGCGACAAACCGCCAAGGGCUUGACCGCCUUGCAGAUGCCGCACGUUGUGCGACCGAGGCAUUUUUUUAUAUUCACUUUACAAGAAUCUGAGAGAGAAACACAAUCAGCGGAGUCGUUUUGGAUGCUCAGAUCUACUGCAGCCACACUGCUUAGAUGUGCUGCUCUCCCUACCUAUUCUUGUCCUAGCCGGUGAUGAGAGAUAAGAUAGAUCAUCCGCAUUCCUCUUCUUCAUUCAUAAUCGUUAUCGUCUCAGUAAUCCCUCCUAUCUUUCCUCUUGCUAGUGAUGCAUCCAUGGGGUUCAGACAUAGCUAGCGGUUAUUCUUCUUAGAUGCAAGUAUAUGUAUAUGGAUCACCUAAUUAGCUUCGUCUACACUCUACACCUUGGAGAAGUCGGACCAUCUUGGAGAAGCAGUAGAAGCUAGCUGCAAGUAGGCACAAGCAAGCAGGACUAUCUCUGCUUCUACUGCUAUAACUGAGCCCAAUGGAUGCAGCCAUAUUCUCCAAUGUCUGACUUCUCCAAGGUCAGAUAUAGCAGGCACAAGCAAAUCGGACCAUUUUUGCUUCUACUGCAAGCAGGCACAAGCAAGUCGGUCCAUCUCUGCAAGUGGGCACAUUAUAUUGUAUAUAUUGUACUAGCAAAUUAAAGUUGAUCAUAUGACGAACAGGCCUGCAACUUAUUUGUUUGACUAAUUAUUUAUGUUUUGUUACAUGUAGAUCCCUACAACACUGAUUAGAUAUUUUCCUUUCGUGUUUGUGCUAUACUGAUUUGAUGUUAAAUGUGUAUAUAGGGAAAAGGAAUGUCAAUGUCGUCAGUUUUGUUUUGAUUUUCAAAAAAUGUCCAGAUUAGCUUUCCAAAUCUGCGUUGUUUAAAUCAUUCUCUAACUACAAACCUAGAUUCAUUUGUCCUGAGUAGAUUUAUUUAUCCUGAUUCAUUUGUGUGUCUAGAUUCAUGUGUUUUCUUCAAGAAUUUAGUGUAUACUUUAUGAUCAUGUAUGACAGCUACUUAUUUGAGUUGUUACAUGUAGAUCCCUACAACACCAAUUAUAGUUGGGGAAGGUGAACCUCCUCCCUCUUGGGAUCCGGUACCAACUCCAAAAGCUAUGGUUGGAAAAGGCUCCCCAAGGUUCAACAUGAGCAGUUCCCCAAAGCUGCGUAGGUAUAUUCCUACAACAAGUGCUACUAAAAAGAAGCCUUCUCCUAAAUGUUGUGGGGCAAAAAAGAGUGGAGGUUCUCCAAGAGUAGUGAAACAAAGAGCAGAUUGGAAUCCAGGACUUGAGAGAUCUCUUGUUGAUAUUCUCCAUGAAUUUAAAGAUAGUGGGUAUAGAGGUGACAAUGGUUGGAACUCUGAAGGGUGGAAUAGGAUGGUUAAGGAGUUUCAUGUGAGGAACAAGUAUGUCUCCUUUACAAAGGCUCAGAUUCAGGAUAAAGAAGGUCAGUUGAAGAGAGACUACAAGAUGCUCAAAGCAACAGAGCGGGUCAACCUGGAAUGAGAAAAGGAAUAUGGUUGAAGGACCACCAACUUUGUGGGAGAAUCUCAUGGUGACAUUUCCUAAAAUCAAGAAGUUUAACAACAAGGCAACCUUCCCGCUCUUUGAUGCUUUGGGAGAGCUUUAUGAUGGACACUUGGCUGAAGGGACUUGGAGUUGCACUUCUCUCGAGGCACUGCAAGAGGAAGAACCGAAUGAGCAACUCCAGGAUGCAGAAAAUGGGCCACAAGGCUUUGAUCUGAAUGUUGUUCAUGAUGUAGAUGAUGAAGUUGAUGAUGCACUCACUGAAAGGAAUGAAGAUGUGCUUCAAGGAAGGGCUAAUAUUUUGUCACGAGAUGAAGAAAGUGGACAACGAAGACCUGUUGCAUCAAGAAACAAACAAGAAAAGGAACCAAAGAAGCCUAGAAAGAGUGACAACAUAGAAAAUAUGAUGAACAAAUACCUAUAAAUGAGGAGCAAGCAAGUAGAAUAUGAAUCUGCAAGAGAAAAGGAGGCAAGAGAAAUGGAGGUAACUCAAAGUGAUGAUUUCUCCAUCAAAAGGUGCAUAUCAGUUAUGAAUACAAUAGAAGAAGUGACCAAAUUGGAGAAGGCAAAAGCAUAUUCAAUCUUCGCCAAGAGCAAAGAGAAUAGAGAAACUUUCAUAUGUGCUUGUGAAGCAGAUCAAGAAUCAGCUUUGAUUUGGCUAAGAAAUGAGAUGUCUUAGCAGCUUCGAUAUGGACAUUAUUGGGAAGCAAAGUAUUGGAAAAAACUGCAUUUAGUUGAUGAUCCACUAGAAGUUUAGGCUAUGUCCCACUCGAGUCUUUAUACUGUGGUGCUGUCUCUUGUUAUGCUAUAUUCCCUGCAUGAUUUUUGUUUUUGGCA
Molecule: long non-coding RNA, 4390 nt
Organism: Zea mays
Lineage: Eukaryota; Viridiplantae; Streptophyta; Magnoliopsida; Poales; Poaceae
Exons: 5
Source: RefSeq, a predicted model, not a curated record